GAUGAACGCUGGCGGCGUGCCUAAUACAUGCAAGUCGAGCGAACGGACGAGAAGCUUGCUUCUCUGAUGUUAGCGGCGGACGGGUGAGUAACACGUGGAUAACCUACCUAUAAGACUGGGAUAACUUCGGGAAACCGGAGCUAAUACCGGAUAAUAUUUUGAACCGCAUGGUUCAAAAGUGAAAGACGGUCUUGCUGUCACUUAUAGAUGGAUCCGCGCUGCAUUAGCUAGUUGGUAAGGUAACGGCUUACCAAGGCAACGAUGCAUAGCCGACCUGAGAGGGUGAUCGGCCACACUGGAACUGAGACACGGUCCAGGCUCCUACGGGAGGCAGCAGUAGGGAAUCUUCCGCAAUGGGCGAAAGCCUGACGGAGCAACGCCGCGUGAGUGAUGAAGGUCUUCGGAUCGUAAAACUCUGCUAUUAGGGAAGAACAUAUGUGUAAGUAACUGUGCACAUCUUGACGGUACCUAAUCAGAAAGCCACGGCUAACUACGUG
Molecule: ribosomal RNA, 497 nt
Filed under: uncultured bacterium
Lineage: Bacteria
Description: partial 16S ribosomal RNA
Rfam family: Bacterial small subunit ribosomal RNA
Source: RNAcentral